Molecule: ribosomal RNA, 484 nt
Filed under: uncultured Glomus
Lineage: Eukaryota; Fungi; Glomeromycota; Glomeromycetes; Glomerales; Glomeraceae
Description: SSU rRNA
Rfam family: Eukaryotic small subunit ribosomal RNA
Source: RNAcentral
AGCAGCCGCGGUAAUUCCAGCUCCAAUGGCGUAUAUUAAAGUUGUUGCAGUUAAAAAGCUCGUAGUUGAAUUUCGGGGUUAGUAGGUUGGUCAUGCCUCUGGUAUGUACUGGUCUCACUGAUUCCUCCUUCCUGAUGAACCGUAAUGCCAUUAAUUUGGUGUUGCGGGGAAUUUGGACUGUUACUUUGAAAAAAUUAGAGUGUUUAAAGCAAGCUAACGCUUGAAUACAUUAGCAUGGAAUAAUGAAAUAGGACGUUCGAUCCUAUUUUGUUGGUUUCUAGGAUUGACGUAAUGAUUAAUAGGGAUAGUUGGGGGCAUUAGUAUUCAAUUGUCAGAGGUGAAAUUCUUGGAUUUAUUGAAGACUAACUACUGCGAAAGCAUUUGCCAAGGAUGUUUUCAUUAAUCAAGAACGAAAGUUAGGGGAUCGAAGACGAUCAGAUACCGUCGUAGUCUUAACCAUAAACUAUGCCGACUAGGGAUCGGA